This 2435-nucleotide long non-coding RNA is filed under the name Panax ginseng (ginseng). Its description in RNAcentral is "long non-coding RNA (PGIN_LNC009447)". Lineage: Eukaryota; Viridiplantae; Streptophyta; Magnoliopsida; Apiales; Araliaceae. The record is from RNAcentral.
GUAUGCAAAAUACAUAUACUUCAACAUAUGAAAGAAUAUAUAUAUAUAUAUAGUUUAAAUGUAUCCCCUAUAUUAGCAAAAAAUAAAAUAGCGAUCCAAUAAUACUUUGUUGUACAAAAUGGUGUGAAUAGUAUUUAUUAAUUGCAACUAUUAUAGAACAUUCAAUAAUUAAAAUCUUGCAGUCAUCUUCUGUUGACUGUAGCAUUACUGAAAGAACUCGAUCACCUACAAAUAAAUUACUCCUAUAUCUCUAAUUUAGUUCGGCAAGUAAUAGUAAAUUUAUGUUCAUUUUAGGUCAAGGGACAUAAAAGAAAAUAACUAUCAUAUUCAUCAGUAAAAUUGUACGUAAACGUAAUAAUAAAAUAGCGAAAAAUAUCACCAGUAGAAUGAAAAGUUUUGAAGCACGCCAUCAGCUGCACGCCCAGUGGUUCCCAUUUGGAGUGCCUAGCUAGCUCUCUAGAUCAAUUGUAUGCCUGGCCAAGUCCUCCUUAACUAUGUCAUUAGGCAAAUGUUUGGAAACAGACUCCAAUAAAUUUACUAGCUAGUUUCUUAAUCAUGCGUUGCGUAUAUAUGUUGAAACCAUACCUACUAGUAAAGCUCCCUCUACAGAGAUUUGGUGCCCAUUAUAAUAUUACCUAUUCCCCAUAUACAAAUUUAACCUCGCAGCAAUUAAAGAGAAAACUGAUAUUUAAUUAUUCUAGCAUAAAUUAAAGACGAAUAUGAUCCACGCCAACGUGUAACCAAGUAUUAAUUGCAUAGUUUAGAUACUCCACCUGUAGUAGUAAUUAAUGAAAUGGAUACAGCCUUAAUUACCCAGUUACCCUUGUACGUAUAACUAUAGGUUUGGUACUUGUGUUGGCCAGUAAUGGCAUUUUCGAUCCUCGAUCAUGAGCUACAUUGUACGAUAUGCACUCCACAAUACAAUGCGUAGUAGAUAUAUACACCUAACAAAUGCAAUGCAUUAUACAUAUAGCAUAAACGAGUGGUAUAUAUAUACAUACAUAUAUAUAUAUAUAUAUAUAUAUAUAUAUAUAUAUAAUUUUCAAAACAAAAAUAGUACUACACCAAUAUCAAUAUGACAACUUCAUCAACAAAAUCCCUGCGAAUUUAAGCAAACCGAAAUUCAAAGCUAUUCACGAAUGGAUUCUUUUGCCGGUACAUUUUUGCCCUUGUUACUUGGGAUCAACUUUGGAAGGAAAAAUUAUAUAAAAUCUCAUAUUCACCUGAUUUCUCCAAUCUCGAUCGGGCAUAAGAAUAUAUAUAUAGAUCAAGAAACUCUGCACAAGGAAUAGAAAAUGAAAAACAAACCAACAUAAAUAGAAUUUAGAUGCAAAGCCUUAUAGUUUCAAAAAACGUAGAACAAAGAGGGAAAUAAUAAUUAUAUAUAGCCAGCAAAAUAAAUUAUUAACGAGUGGCCUUGGAGAAGAUAUUAGGGUUUACCCACGGGAUCGAUCAACAUGCUCCUCACUCUAACUAUGGGGUUGAAUAUUAAGCAGGAGUAUCUAAUUGUUUAUCAAAUAAGAAACUAGUAGUAAUUUACAGGAAUUAUUAGUGUAGGGUUAUGAUCAAGUAUAUAUACAAACAAAAGGGAAAUCACAUACAAGCUGCCACUUACUUACCUAGCUAGAUAUUAAUUUGUUACUUUAAUUGUAUAUAGGGAGUAUAAAUAAAUAUAAAAUGAAUUUAUUGAUUGAUUCUACAGAUACAUAUACAUAUAUAUAUAUAAGCGAUCGAUUGAGAUUAUUGAUGAUAUGGAUGGAUGAGAAAGGGUUUUGCAAAGAGAGACCAACAGAGCUCCGUUGGCAGUAUGCCCACCUCCAUCUAUAUAUACAUAUACAUGAAACUAAAAUUGAAACUGAGAUUGAUAUAUAUAUAUAUAGAGAGAGAGAGAUUGUGGUUGAAAUAUCAAAAAUACGUAUAACACAAACACUGUUUUUUUUGGUGUAUACAUACUACACACAUAGUUUGGGGAGGAGGUGGACAGAAUGCCAAAAAACUCGGUAAGAAGCCCUUUGUUAAACCUCCCCAUGACCUUAUUUCCUUACCUUUUCUUCCGUUAAAUCUUGUGUAUAUUUUUUUCACCCCUCAUCACCAAAAUACACAGAAUACUGGUUAGCUACUUGCUGGUAUGUAUGACUUGUAUUAUUAGAGAUCAAGAGAGGAGAGAGGGAUUGAAGAUGGGGCAGUUGGGUUGUACUACUACUACAACAACUAUUUAAGAUGCAUGUGAGAUUGUGAGGUGAGAUCAUAAGGCUAGGCUAGGCUACUAUAGUAAAUAAGAGAGAGAAAGAAAUAAGAAGAGGUGUAAAUCCAUAAUAAGAAGUUAAGAGAGGGAGAGAUUGGAUGGUUGAUGAGUUGAUUGAAUCUUUACAAAGAGGCAGGAUGAGGGCAUAUUUAGAAGGAAAGGGGAUCAUCAUCAUCAUACUUAUUCCUCC